GUCAGCCCCACCACCUCUAAAGAACUCGACCUCUAAUAAAGAACUUCUCAUACAUGUUGACUCCUCCAAUGAACAGGAGACCACCCUCCAAGGUCCCAUUGAAUGAAAUGAAAAGAUGGUACGCUUUGGAAAACAUAGCAGGUGACAUUAUAUGCCAUUGAAGGAAUGUAAUAGAUGCUCUUCCACCGCGAAUAUCCCACACAUCCACAUGAGAAACAUAAGUAACCCAAUAAGUGUGAGGCAUUGAAUAUUCCAACCUAGUUGCCUCUAUUCAGAUACUUUCUUGUGUGAUAGCCUCCAAAUUCUCGUUAUUUUUUAUUGCUUCCUCUAUUUUGGUUGCCAAGUUGUAGUCCUUUAAUUUUUAGCAACUAAUUAAACUUGUUAUUUUCCCUUUUGCAUCCAUACGUGUAGUUUUACCUCCUCCACUUUCUUGAUUUGUGAUCCUUUUCAAUAGAUUUAACUGAAUUGACAUGUUCUUGUAAAAUCUGCAGCUUCUUCAAGUGAUUUGAUAUUUUCUCUUCGAAAUCAGUUUUCUCUAUCUUUAAAGAACUUGAAUCCUCAACAAUUCGAUUGUUUCUACCACGUGGAACGCCAUCUGAUCUGACAAAGCUUUGACGGCCACAGUUAAAGCCGAAUCAAUGUUAUGACUUAGCCAGUGUUUGAUACAGAUGUGGCGUGAAUGCAACCAUGCGUUUAGUGUGAAGCUAAACUAU
RNAcentral lists this long non-coding RNA (713 nucleotides) under Medicago truncatula (barrel medic). RNAcentral's name for it is "lncRNA gene37872". Lineage: Eukaryota; Viridiplantae; Streptophyta; Magnoliopsida; Fabales; Fabaceae. The record is from RNAcentral.